UGAGCCUCCACCUCCGCUCGCCGGUGACGAGCCUCCGUUCCUGCUCGCCGGCCGCCAAUGACGAGUUUCCGCCCGCGGAUCCAGGCUCCAGGGAACUCCCAUGAGUUAAUCCCCAUCCCCGUGCUCGAUCUCCUCUUCUUCUUAAGUUUGUGGCCUUCACCUCCGCCUGCUCUUCUUAGCCACCAGCUCCGCCAUGGUCAGUGAGGUUGCCUAUGCAAGAAUUGAUUGUAUAAACUGGGUUGGCCUUUCAACUGUCAGAACAUUCAGGGUUCAUCUCAGCCAAGGAAUUGACCAUUUCUUAUUCUACUUGCUCUUCGACCCACAACUCUAAGGUCCAGUGUCUCAAUGAAUCCUAUUUCUUAUUCUACUUGCUGAUCUACUUGUGCAUAUGCCGUAUAUAUUUCCUGUGAAGACACACAUGGGCAAAGAAGGAAGGCCUAGAAAUGAAGGAGCUCUGCAGGAUACCCCGAAACAAGCAAGAUGGAUCUGUUCUGGUUAUGGUGUUCUUCCAUAAGUUUUAGGGUAAAUUGAAAUAGGAUUUUUCUGCAGGAAACAAUGGUGUUCUUGUUUGCCUGACCAGCAGUUCACAAUACUCCACGUGAUGCCCAAUCUCGAGUUUAAAAAUAAGACAUUUGCAGCCCUUGGCAAGGACCGAGCCAUCACUUCACAACCAAAUAUUUGAGGAGCAACAACUUGCGGUUGGUGACGCCCCGUUGUGAGCUUCCCAACAUCCGCCAUGGCAUAGUGGCCCCUUUCCUCCACGCGAGUGACGGAGUAGGACCGAUUGAAGCGGAUUGGCAGGCGGUGGCAUUGGCCAUGAUGUGCAGACUUCCUAUCUGCUUGCCUCCAUGCACGUGUAGGACAAGUAGGCUAUAAAAACAUACUUUGGAAGAAGCUAGGAGGUGCCAGUAGCCGGUGCUAUGGCUUGAUUGUGAUAGAGAGGGUGAAAACAUAGCAUAUGAAGUGAUCCGAGUUUGUACAGGUUUGUUGAUGUGUUUUAGAGGAUUGAUUAAGUUACCUUAAUGAUUUAAGUAUUAGGCUAAUUUUAUCACUCUCUGAACUUUCAUAGGAAGCACAGAAUAAAACGUAGAAAUGUCAAUGAUCAAGGCCAUGUCAAUGGUUCAGUGUAUUGGUUGCUUC
Molecule: long non-coding RNA, 1140 nt
Organism: Panicum virgatum (switchgrass)
Lineage: Eukaryota; Viridiplantae; Streptophyta; Magnoliopsida; Poales; Poaceae
Exons: 5
Source: RefSeq, a predicted model, not a curated record